Molecule: ribosomal RNA, 222 nt
Filed under: uncultured bacterium
Lineage: Bacteria
Description: partial 16S ribosomal RNA
Rfam family: Bacterial small subunit ribosomal RNA
Source: RNAcentral
AGUAACACGUGGGUGACCUGCCCUCGAGUGGGGAAUAACGCUGGGAAACCAGCGCUAAUACCGCAUAGGCUUAGUCCUUCAGUGGAUUAAGUAAAGCCUAGUGCGCUUGAGGAGGGGCCUGCGGCCGAUUAGCUAGUCGGUGGGGUAAUGGCCUACCGAGGCUCCGAUCGGUAGCUGGUCUGAGAGGAUGACCAGCCACACUGGGACUGAGACACGGCCCAG